AACGAACGCUGGCGGCAGGCCUAACACAUGCAAGUCGAGCGAGGACUUCGGUUCUAGCGGCGGACGGGUGAGUAACGCGUGGGAAUGUGCCCUUCUCUACGGAAUAGCUCUGGGAAACUGGGAGUAAUACCGUAUACGCCCUAUUGGGGAAAGAUUUAUCGGAGAAGGAUCAGCCCUCGUUGGAUUAGGUAGUUGGUGGGGUAAUGGCCUACCAAGCCGACGAUCCAUAGCUGGUUUGAGAGGAUGAUCAGCCACACUGGGACUGAGACACGGCCCAGACUCCUACGGGAGGGAGCAGUGGGGAAUCUUAGACAAUGGGGGCAACCCUGAUCUAGCCAUGCCGCGUGAGUGAUGAAGGCCUUAGGGAUGUAAAGCUCUUUCAGCUGGGAAGAUAAUGACGGUACCAGCAGAAGAAGCCCCGGCUAACUCCGUG
RNAcentral lists this ribosomal RNA (433 nucleotides) under uncultured bacterium. Its description in RNAcentral is "partial 16S ribosomal RNA". It matches the Rfam family "Bacterial small subunit ribosomal RNA", at positions 29 to 507 of the family's 1533-position model. The record is from RNAcentral.